Molecule: small nucleolar RNA, 87 nt
Organism: Drosophila takahashii
Lineage: Eukaryota; Metazoa; Arthropoda; Insecta; Diptera; Drosophilidae
Source: RefSeq, a predicted model, not a curated record
ACAACUCAAAGGAUGACACCUACAUACCCAAUACUGAAAAGUCAUGUUGAAAAUUACUAAACAUGCAUCACCAUCUGAUUGAAUUUU